This is a non-coding RNA of Caenorhabditis elegans, 123 nucleotides long. Lineage: Eukaryota; Metazoa; Nematoda; Chromadorea; Rhabditida; Rhabditidae. The record is from Ensembl.
UGAGAUAACGGGAACAUAUAAUUAGUGAUAUGUAUCUGACCGUGCAAGGGGGAUACCAGUUGAAUAACUAGUUUGUUGUCUCUGUGCGCAAAAAGGAAAAAGAAAAAUGAUAGGUUUUGAUUA